GCGGAGGAAAAGAAACCAACCGGGAUUGCCUUAGUAACGGCGAGUGAAGCGGCAAAAGCUCAAAUUUGAAAUCUGGUACCUUCGGUGCCCGAGUUGUAAUUUGGAGAGGGCAACUUUGGGGCCGUUCCUUGUCUAUGUUCCUUGGAACAGGACGUCAUAGAGGGUGAGAAUCCCGUGUGGCGAGGAGUGCGGUUCUUUGUAAAGUGCCUUCGAAGAGUCGAGUUGUUUGGGAAUGCAGCUCUAAGUGGGUGGUAAAUUCCAUCUAAAGCUAAAUAUUGGCGAGAGACCGAUAGCGAACAAGUACAGUGAUGGAAAGAUGAAAAGAACUUUGAAAAGAGAGUGAAAAAGUACGUGAAAUUGUUGAAAGGGAAGGGCAUUUGAUCAGACAUGGUGUUUUGUGCCCUCUGCUCCUUGUGGGUAGGGGAAUCUCGCAUUUCACUGGGCCAGCAUCAGUUUUGGUGGCAGGAUAAAUCCAUAGGAAUGUAGCUUGCCUCGGUAAGUAUUAUAGCCUGUGGGAAUACUGCCAGCUGGGACUGAGGACUGCGACGUAAGUCAAGGAUGCUGC
Molecule: ribosomal RNA, 565 nt
Filed under: Saccharomyces cerevisiae (brewer's yeast)
Lineage: Eukaryota; Fungi; Ascomycota; Saccharomycetes; Saccharomycetales; Saccharomycetaceae
Description: partial large subunit ribosomal RNA
Rfam family: Eukaryotic large subunit ribosomal RNA
Source: RNAcentral